AGCGGAGCGUGUGGUUUAAUUCGUUGACUACACGAAGAACCUUACCUGGGUUUGACAUAAUGGUGUAGGGAUCCAAAGGUGACGACCUUCGGGGAGCCAUUACAGGUGUUGCAUGGCUGUCGUCAGCUCGUGUCGUGAGAUGUUCGGUUAAGUCCGCUAACGAGCGCAACCCUCGCUGUGUGUUAUAUGUGUCACACAGGACUGCUGGUAUUAAAGCCGGAGGAAGUGGGACGACGUCAAGUCAGCAUGACCUUUAUAUCCAGGGCUACACACACGCUACAAUGGUCAGUACAAUGGGUUGCCAAGCCGCGAGGCGGAGCCAAUCCUAAAAAGCUGGCCUCAGUUCAGAUUGCAGUCUGAAACUCGACUGCAUGAAGUCGGAGUUGCUAGUAAACGCAGGUCAGCCAUACUGCGUUGAAUACGUUCCCGGGCUU
RNAcentral lists this ribosomal RNA (434 nucleotides) under uncultured Anaerolineaceae bacterium. Its description in RNAcentral is "bacterial SSU rRNA". It matches the Rfam family "Bacterial small subunit ribosomal RNA", at positions 931 to 1381 of the family's 1533-position model. The record is from RNAcentral. Lineage: Bacteria; Bacillati; Chloroflexota; Anaerolineae; Anaerolineales; Anaerolineaceae.